ACUUAAAUAGCUUAUAAUUAAGAGCAUAGUACUGAAGAUACUAAGGAGAUACUAAUAUUUUUAAGUA
RNAcentral lists this transfer RNA (67 nucleotides) under Stylosomus ilicicola. RNAcentral describes it as "tRNA-Phe". The record is from RNAcentral. Lineage: Eukaryota; Metazoa; Arthropoda; Insecta; Coleoptera; Chrysomelidae.